RNAcentral lists this long non-coding RNA (4125 nucleotides) under Mytilus galloprovincialis (Mediterranean mussel). Lineage: Eukaryota; Metazoa; Mollusca; Bivalvia; Mytilida; Mytilidae. The record is from RNAcentral.
GCCAUGAUUUUAAACCAUGGUUUAAUGGCUUUGUUUUUUCUUUCAAACAAGGCUAUAAAAACACUAGACAAUAAUGUAUAAUUAUGUUAACUUUAUAUCACAAUGUAUAUAAUUAAUAUGUACACAUAUUACAUUAUAUACAAUAAUCAACAACUUUUAAAAUUGCAUCAAUAUAGGAUACAUUGCAGGUUUCAAGGUAUAUCUUUUCAUUGCGCUUAGUACAUCAAAUAAGGUGCAAUUUUCAUACUGUGAAAGUCCUCAAUAAGUUACAACUUUAUUGCAUGCCUUUAAGUUAAAGCAAAAAUUGUUGUUUUAACCAAUUACUUUUAAGUAGUCAGACCUGUUCUGAUUGUUAAAAAAUAAUUAAAUAUUAAGAAAGAGAUAUAUAAAUCUCAAUAUUAAAUUACUGUCAGGUGGUUUGACUAUUACCUUUUCAAACAGUUAAGGAAGCUGGCUUGUCAUGUUUUGGAUUUUUUGUCAGAUUUUCGGAAUCCUCUGGUUUUAUCCAUUUGAAUGCCUUGAAAAAUUUGCCAAGUGACCCCCAUUUUUCUUUAUGAAAAUCUUUUACAUGUAUAAUGAUAAGCCAUCUGUAAAAGUCUUAUAAAAUUUUAAUUACUUUUUAACAGUUUUUGAGAACUUCAGCUUGUCAAUGAUAAAGCUAUAAAAAGUCAAGAGAGAAUAUUUUCCCGCCAAAAUUUCAAAUACUUAUAUCUCGAAAACAAGCACGGUGAUCUUUAUAUAUUUUCUGCAUUUUGGAUUUCUUAAUUAAUUCCCUAUCAAUAUAAACUAGUGCUUUGAAAAGUUAAUUACUUUGAAACUGAGAAGCGAACUCCCUUAACUUACUGAAUAAUCAUAUAUUGUUUAGGGGACACAGUAAAACUGAACUUUGCCUACACUUUUAAAAUAGUCUUUAAAUCAAUCAUUAUAAAAAUAAUAAGACACGAUGACAAAUAAUCUACAGUAAAAUCUGUGAUAAUAAUCAAUUCAUUCCGUAUUUAGCAAACAUGAACUAAGCAAUAUGAAAUAUUCAAUGAAUUCUAACUAUAUUUUACUGAGAAAAGAAUAUUCCUGGUUUAAAAAUGGUUAUUGAUGAAGAAUAUGGUUGGAAGCACAAUGCAAUAAUUUAUGAGCACCAUGUUCUAUUGCAGAAAUUGUCUGAUCAGAUUUCUACCAACACAGAAUAUAGGUACAGUUUCCCCAUCUAAUAAUCAAAUUGCAUAUUUCUUUUUAAAAAAACAAAACAGAUAAAUGUGGAAGUCUUUACAUCCAAUUAUUACAUUGCAAUGCAUUUGUAAUAAAUCAUGAUAUCAAACUUAAAUUUUGUUCAAAAUGUUUGAAUAAAUUUGUAAAAAAGUAUUUGAAAUUUAUUCCAGUUGACUUUUAUCUUUUUAAAAAAUAAACAUGCAACAUAUCCGUAGUAUAUAUAACACAUGAGUAUUUUCAGUAAGACACUAUGUACAAUACAAAUAAAAUAUUAAUAUAUGGAAUAUUACUGUGAACAUAUGAAAAUAUAUCUGGAAUGUGAAUGAUAAAUAUAUAUAUAUAUAAACAAUAAACUUUUGUCUCAAAAAUAUAAUACAAUGGAAGUAAAUAUUUAAUUUUUCCUCUAAUUUAUAAUCUCACAACAAUAUAGGUAUAACCACAUAUAUAAAUUAUUAUCUUGAUUAGACAUAUAAUAUUUUGUCAAUAAGUACUUUUGUGAAACUUUUGAUACUUUCAGAUAAUCAGUGCAAUAGGUUGUUCUCAGCCCUUAUUUGGUCAAAAUUAAGAAAUGACAUAAACAUUUUGCCAAUCAGUUUUUUAUUUCAAUUUUUUCAAUCAUUUAAGUAUGUCUGAUUCAACAAAUGAAAAGAACUAAAUGUUUUUUAAACCCCAAAAGAAAACCUUCUUACUUUGUCUUUUCCUUAAAUCGAUACAUCAAAUUCAUCUGACAUGAAGAUUUCAAAAUUUCAGCCACUAUUCUGUUUAAUUGGGGUAGACUAAAAAAUCUUUUAAAUGGUGAGUUUCUGAAUUUUUUGGCUGUAAAUGCAGCUUUUAGUACAAAGGCUGUUCCAUUACAAACAAACAUAAAACGAAGGGAUGGAACUGGGUUAUUUUGUAUAGAGUUUUUAAAAUUUCCCCUUCUUUUUCCCUGUCCCAAAAGAAAUUGAUAUAUAAAUGUGACUUCUCAGUGUCCCCUGCAAGUUUUCAUGUAACUAUCCUGAAGAGCAUUAAGGUUUUUGAAGAGUAUAUCCAUAAUUACAAACUACAAGAAAUUGAUUAUAUGUAAAUGCACUAUUUGGCAUUUAUAAAACAAUAAUUGUACAUAUUAACAAAUGAUAAUAAGUAUUUAACAUUUUAAAUGCGAUCAAUAAACAAACAUUAUGUUUUAUAGAAAAUAUGGCUGAACAUGUUAUAUGUAUUUGUAGGUGAAUAUCUUAAAUAGCACUCUUAUGUAGAACAAAAUCUAUUGCUUCAACAAUCAAUGGUGUUAGUUUUUUUUUAAAUGUGAUAAAUAUAAAAUAUAGAAACAAAAUUUAAUAGGCCAUUAUAAACAAAUUCUUAGAUCCUCAUCCAUUUUUUUAUUAAACCUUUUUUUCAUAUAAGAAAACUCUGCCAAAAGGGGAGAAUAGACAGAAAUCAAAUUAAACCUUUUUUUCAUAAAAGAAAACUCUGCCAAAAGGGGAGAAUAGACAGAAAUCAAAUUAAAACUAAUUUUUUUACUCUGCAUUAAAACUAUCCAUUAUUCAAUAAAAAACUACAUUUUCAUGUGAACAAAGAUUUUUUUCAUAAUCAAAUAAACAGAAAUGCAGAACCCUGUUAUAAAUGAUAUCCUUAUCCAACUUCACAAGUUGACUAAAAUUACCAACAUGUACAGAAAGAUCUUACAAUCAUUCAAAGAAAAAAGUCUAUCAAAAAUAUAAUACCCUGCCAAAUCAUUAAAAUACAAUAACAGUUGUAUUCAUUACUUUUUUUAUUAAAUUUAACCUUUAACCCUGUAUAUUCAUUAACCGUGGAUAUAAAAAAAAGAUUUGUCUAGAGUUGGCAAAUUGCAGAAUUUACAACUGUACAAACCCAUGCAUGGAAAAACCAUCAUGAUCAUGUAUUCACAUUAUUCUAAUAAUCCUUCUUUCUCUAAAAUCAGAAGUUUUCAAAACUUACAAAAUAUAAGAACUUUUUUCCAACAGGCAUCUUAAAAUCACAUGUUGAUACACAACUCUUGAACAAAAUAAUAUUGUUCUAAUAAUUCAUAUAUAGUGUACAAAUAAAGAUAAAAAUAUUUUGUAUCCUAAAUACCUAUGUAGAGUAUUUAAUAGUAAUUUACAAUAAUAUAUUAAAAUAGUACUUUUAUUUUCUAUAUCUAAAAUUGUAUCCUACCAUGUACUUCAGUUUACAUUUAUAAAUUUCAACAAAUGACAUUAUUUUAAGAAAAAUUUACUUCACCAGUAAAUUUAGGAUAGUUGUUUCUAUUGGUUUAUUGAUAUAUAUGUACCCUCAAUAUCUUUGUAUCACAAUCUAUUACACAUAAAUAAUACAACUUCUAUAAAAUUAGAGACUGUGACCCUUUUUACAUUACUGUAUAAUGUAUAUUCCAAGCUCAGUUGUGAAUGCUCUGGAGGUUGAAACCAUCAUUUUUUUUUGACAACUAAUGCUUUUGUAUGGGAGACAUAUGGUUGGAACCCCUCUUGUAAAAUGCCUAGAUAUGUAGUUUCCUACUCAAACAUACAAAUUGCAUAUACUAUUCCUUCAAUAUGAAGAAGGUACACAACAUAAUUUGGAAAGGUAACCAGUUUUUCCCAAAAAAUUAAAAGAAAAAUAAUAAAACUUUAUCAUAAAAAUCUCAAUUUGCAUUUCAAUCUCAUAUUUUGUAUGUAUGAGAACUGUUAUUCAAGUUCAAAUUCUUACUGCAAUAUUUGCACAAUAUACUAAACAAGGGUAAAAUUUAAUGCUCCUUCGGCAACGGCAGGGGCAUAACAAAUGUCUGAGCAUUAGUUUAGUAAUCCUAAUCAUACAUAAAACAUUGAUUUUCUCGCAUGAAAUAAAUAUCUCAUGUUUCUUUCUUUCAUUUGGUUGCAUUAUGAUUCAACAAUAUUCAAACUGAUGACAUAAAAAUGUAAAAAAUCAAGGGAUUAAAUAGAAAAUUUG